GAACUGCGAUAAGUAGUGUGAAUUGCAGAAUUCAGUGAAUCAUCAAACUCUUGAACGCACAUGGCGCCCUGUGGCAACGCAGGGCACGCCUGUCUGAGCCUCGGUAUUCAACCUCACAACCACCCAACGGGCGGAUGUGGAAGUGGGGAUUGCUUUGAGCAUUCCCUCAAAUGAAGCUGCCGGGCGCAGCGGGAUAGGGCCCCAAGCCGAUCCACCGCAACCAGUUUCUGAUGGCGCAUGCCUCUAAUCCUGGUGCUGGCUCGUUCUCUUGGCCGCCUCCCGCCGCCCACCCGGUACGACGCGCCCCGCGAGGGGCACCCCUUCAAACUUCGAGCUCAGAUCAGGCGAGGCUACCCGCUGAAUUUAA
RNAcentral lists this unclassified non-coding RNA (367 nucleotides) under uncultured fungus. Its description in RNAcentral is "sequence contains ITS1". The stretch from base 1 to 103 matches the Rfam family "5.8S ribosomal RNA", at positions 50 to 154 of the family's 154-position model. Lineage: Eukaryota; Fungi. The record is from RNAcentral.